GAUGAACGCUGGCGGCGUGCUUAACACAUGCAAGUCGAACGAAGCACUUUAUUUGAUUUCCUUCGGGACUGAUUAUUUUGUGACUGAGUGGCGGACGGGGGAGUAACGCGUGGGUAGCCUGCCUUGUACAGGGGGAGAACAGUUGGAAACGGUUGCUAAUACCGCAUAAGCGCGCGGCAUCGCAUGCUGCAGUGUGAAAAACUCCGGUGGUAUAAGAUGGACGCGCGUUGGAUUAGCUAGUUGGUGAGGUAACGGCCCACCAAGGCGACGAUCCAUAGCCGAGCUGAGAGGGUGACCGGACACAUUGGGACUGAGACACAGCCCAGAAUCCUACGGGAGGCGGCAGUGGGGAAUAUUGCACAAUGGGCGAAAGCAUGAUGCAGCGACGCCGCGUGAGCGAAGAAGUAUUUCGGUAUGUAAAGCUCUAUCAGCAGGGAAGAUAAUGACGGUACCUGACUAAGAAGCACCGGCUAAAUACGUG
Molecule: ribosomal RNA, 481 nt
Filed under: uncultured bacterium
Lineage: Bacteria
Description: partial 16S ribosomal RNA
Rfam family: Bacterial small subunit ribosomal RNA
Source: RNAcentral